RNAcentral lists this ribosomal RNA (528 nucleotides) under uncultured bacterium. RNAcentral's name for it is "bacterial SSU rRNA". It matches the Rfam family "Bacterial small subunit ribosomal RNA", at positions 56 to 564 of the family's 1533-position model. The record is from RNAcentral.
UGCAAGUCGAGCGAACCAAUUAAGAGCUUGCUCUUAAGAAGUUAGCGGCGGACGGGUGAGUAACACGUGGGUAACCUGCCUAUAAGACUGGGAUAACUCCGGGAAACCGGGGCUAAUACCGGAUAACAUUUUGCACCGCAUGGUGCGAAAUUGAAAGGCGGCUUCGGCUGUCACUUAUAGAUGGAUCUGCGUCGCAUUAGCUAGUUGGUGAGGUAACGGCUCACCAAGGCGACGAUGCGUAGCCGACCUGAGAGGGUGAUCGGCCACACUGGGACUGAGACACGGCCCAGACUCCUACGGGAGGCAGCAGUAGGGAAUCUUCCGCAAUGGACGAAAGUCUGACGGAGCAACGCCGCGUGAGCGAUGAAGGCCUUCGGGUCGUAAAGCUCUGUUGUUAGGGAAGAACAAGUGCUAGUUGAAUAAGCUGGCACCUUGACGGUACCUAACCAGAAAGCCACGGCUAACUACGUGCCAGCAGCCGCGGUAAUACGUAGGUGGCAAGCGUUAUCCGGAAUUAUUGGGCGUAAA